AAAGAGAGAAAUGAGGGAGAGGGAGAGAGAGAGAGAGAGAAGACAAGAAUUAGAAAUUUGGAGGUUAAAAGAUAAGAUUAGGAAAUGAAAAUGAGAUGUUAGGAGUAAAAGUGGACAAUAGUCCCCUUACAUGGAUUUGUGGUCAUCCAUACUAUAGCCAUGACCAUUGACCUCUUUCUAGCUACUCAAUAAUUUUCCCUCCUCUCUCUCUCUCUCCAUCUCUCCCUCUCCUUCUCUCUCUCUCUUG
This is a non-coding RNA of Brugia malayi, 247 nucleotides long. NCBI's taxonomy places the organism in Eukaryota, Metazoa, Nematoda, Chromadorea, Rhabditida, Onchocercidae. The record is from RefSeq and is a predicted model, not a curated record.